AUACAGGGGGUGCGAGCGUUAAUCGGAAUUACUGGGCGUAAAGAGUUCGUAGGCGGUUGCUUAAGUCAGAUGUGAAAGCCCCGGGCUCAACCUGGGAACUGCAUUUGAAACUGAGUGACUAGAGUUUAAGAGAGGGGAGUAGAAUUCCGGGUGUAGCGGUGAAAUGCGUAGAGAUCCGGAGGAAUACCAGUGGCGAAGGCGGCUCCCUGGCUUAAAACUGACGCUGAGGUACGAAAGCGUGGGUAGCAAACAGGAUUAGAAACCCGAGUAGUCC
This 274-nucleotide ribosomal RNA is filed under the name uncultured bacterium. Its description in RNAcentral is "partial 16S ribosomal RNA". It matches the Rfam family "Bacterial small subunit ribosomal RNA", at positions 523 to 796 of the family's 1533-position model. The record is from RNAcentral.